Small nuclear RNA from Jaculus jaculus (lesser Egyptian jerboa), 107 nucleotides. The record is from Ensembl. NCBI's taxonomy places the organism in Eukaryota, Metazoa, Chordata, Mammalia, Rodentia, Dipodidae.
GUGCUCACUUUGGCAGCACAUAUACUAAAAUUGGAAUGAUACAGAGAAGAUUAGCAUGACCACUGCACAGGGAUGACAUGCAAAUUUGUGAAGCAUUCCAUUUUUUG